GGGACGGGGCCUGGCCGGGCCCUCGGGGGCUUUCCUUGGGGUCUCCCUUUUGGGGUCUCCCCCCUGGGGUCUCCUCGCUGCUGAAAGGGCUUGGAGGGACUCUGAGUCUCGCUCGCGGGGCGCUUUGCACAGCCGAAAAAGUUAGCGUGCACUUACACCUGAACUGAGUGAAUAAAGAUAGCAAGCACGUUCUGAAUGCAGCUGACAAGCCCCAGCCUGGCUCUUUAUUUCAUUCCCUUUCUCAUCGCCCUGCUCCACCUGUGGGCUUUUCGGUGCCUGGGCCGCUCCUGCCAGCGGCUCUGCCUCGCUGAGCUCCUUCACACACCUUUCCUUCAGCCAGCUGGUAGAUGAAGUACCUUCGUGGGUUGCAAAAAGCCACGAGGCUUAAGUACGAGGCUGAUUUUUGCUGGUGAAUUCUUGCACGCUGCUGGUUAAACUCUGGCAGAACGCUCGCAGUUGUAGGCAUCCUCCCUUCAAAUAGACUGCACCUGAGCUUCUGCCUUCCUGGAGGUUGUUACUGAAAAGAGCACCACAAGCACCUGUUUCAGAAGGUCUUUUUCUAGCUAUUUUGCCCUGCUUGGUAAUCCCCUGCUUUACAGGUCUUCCAAAAUGGUACUUCCAAAAUACUUAGUGCUUUCUAGUGGUUCACACCUUUAAAUUCCCAAAUGUCCAAUCAAAUCGCUAAUGAGAAUAUAAAACCUAGUACAGUAAGUAUUGCAAAGGGAUGGAGAAGAAAUGCUUUGGAUGCAUUUUAUGAAAAUCAUCCUAUUGAAAGAGCCAGAGUACUUCUGUACAGCUACGUUGUUAUCUGCAGGAAGCAUACAUCUCUGCACCGUGACUCUUGACUGGAAGAACUGAGAGUGUUCUUGGAGCCUCCAAACUUUAUUGGGUAAGUGGAUUCACUUUUAAGUGGGAAUGGGAAUAGUGCAAAUGAAACGUGGAUAGAUUAAUACAAUUUCAGAUUUUAUCUGCUUUUGGUGGUCAAGGCUGUGUACAGUGCUCUAAGUGUUCCCACCUUAGUCCCCUGUGUGUAAAGACAGAAGC
This 1044-nucleotide long non-coding RNA is filed under the name Anser brachyrhynchus (Pink-footed goose). RNAcentral describes it as "lncRNA (ENSABRG00000018562.1)". Lineage: Eukaryota; Metazoa; Chordata; Aves; Anseriformes; Anatidae. The record is from RNAcentral.